GGAACCUUUACAAUGUGCGAAAGCAUGAUAAGGGGACUCCGAGUGCCAGCAUCUAAUGCUGGCUGUCCUUGUGCCUAAAAAGCACAAGAUAGCAAGGGCCGGGUAAGACCGGUGCCAGCCGCCGCGGUAACACCGGCGGCCCGAGUGGUAGCCGCUAUUAUUGGGUCUAAAGGGUCCGUAGCCGGUUCGGUAAGUCCUUUGGGAAAUCUGGUUGCUUAACAAUCAGACUGCCAAGGGAUACUGCUGAACUUGAGACCGGGAGAGGUAAGAGGUACUUCAGGGGUAGGAGUGAAAUCUUGUGAUCCCUGGGGGACCAUCUGUGGCGAAGGCGUCUUACCAGAACGGGUCUGACGGUGAGGGACGAAAGCUGGGGGCGCAAACCGGAUUAGAUACCCGGGUAGUCCCAGCCGUAAACGAUGCUCGCUAUGUGUCAGGUACGGUGUGACCGUAUCUGGUGCCGUAGGGAAGCCGUGAAGCGAGCCACCUGGGAAGUACGGUCGCAAGACUGAAACUUAAAGGAAUUGGCGGGGGAGCACUACAACGGGUGGAGCCUGCGGUUCAAUUGGAUUCAACGCCGGGAAGGGCGA
Molecule: ribosomal RNA, 587 nt
Filed under: uncultured archaeon
Lineage: Archaea
Description: bacterial SSU rRNA
Rfam family: Archaeal small subunit ribosomal RNA
Source: RNAcentral